GGCAACCCUGAUCCAGCCAUGCCGCGUGUGUGAAGAAGGCUUUCGGGUUGUAAAGCACUUUCAGGGAGGAGGAAAGGUGUGUGGUUUAUACCCGCAUAGAGUGACGUUACUCGCAGAAGAAGCACCGGCUAACUCCGUGCCAGCAGCCGCGGUAAUAUAGAGGGUGCAAGCGUUAAUUGGAAUUAAUUGGUGUAAAGCGAGGGUAGGUGGGGAGGUCAGUCAGAUGUGAAAGCCCCGGGCUCAACUUGGGAAUUGCACCUGAUACUGCCUGACUAGAGUACGGUAGAGGGUAGUGGAAUUUCUUGUGUAGCGGUGAAAUGAGUAGAUAUAGGAAGGAACACCAGUGGCGAAGGCGACUACCUGGAUUGAUACUGACACUGAGGUGCGAAAGCGUGGGGAGCAAACAGGCUUGGUUACCCUGGUUGUCC
Molecule: ribosomal RNA, 428 nt
Filed under: uncultured bacterium
Lineage: Bacteria
Description: bacterial SSU rRNA
Rfam family: Bacterial small subunit ribosomal RNA
Source: RNAcentral